CAGCCGCCGCGGGAAUACGAGGGGGGCAAGCGUUGUUCGGAAUUAUUGGGCGUAAAGGGUGCGUAGGCGGUUUGAUAAGUCUGAUGUGAAAUCUAUGGGCUCAACCCAUAGUCUGCAUUAGAAACUGUCGGGCUUGAGUAUGGGAGAGGUGAGUGGAAUUUCCGGUGUAGCGGUGAAAUGCGUAGAUAUCGGAAGGAACACCUGUGGCGAAAGCGGCUCACUGGACCAUAACUGACGCUGAUGCACGAAAGCUAGGGGAGCAAACAGGAUUAGAUACCCCCGUAGUCCCUGUCUCUUAUAC
This 301-nucleotide ribosomal RNA is filed under the name uncultured bacterium. RNAcentral describes it as "partial 16S ribosomal RNA". It matches the Rfam family "Bacterial small subunit ribosomal RNA", at positions 509 to 807 of the family's 1533-position model. The record is from RNAcentral.